GACGAACGCUGGCGGCGUGCCUAACACAUGCAAGUCGAGCGGGAUCCAUCCGGUAGCAAUACUGGUGAAGAUCUAGCGGCGAACGGGUGAGUAACACGUGAGAAACCUGCCCCAGACUCUGGGAUAACACGAGGAAACUCGUGCUAAUACCGGAUACCUUCUUUUGGUCGCAUGGUCAGCUGAAGAAAGAUUUAUCGGUUUGGGAGGGUCUCGCGGCCUAUCAGCUAGUUGGCGGGGUAACGGCCCACCAAGGCAUCGACGGGUAGCUGGUCUGAGAGGACGAUCAGCCACACUGGGACUGAGACACGGCCCAGACUCCUACGGGAGGCAGCAGUGGGGAAUCUUGCGCAAUGGGCGAAAGCCUGACGCAGCAACGCCGCGUGCGGGAUGACGGCCUUCGGGUUGUAAACCUCUUUCAGUAGGGACGAAGCGCAAGUGACGGUACCUACAGAAGAAGGACCGGCCAACUACGUGCCAGCCGCCGCCGUAA
RNAcentral lists this ribosomal RNA (490 nucleotides) under uncultured bacterium. RNAcentral describes it as "partial 16S ribosomal RNA". It matches the Rfam family "Bacterial small subunit ribosomal RNA", at positions 28 to 523 of the family's 1533-position model. The record is from RNAcentral.